UGGGAACGUACCUUUCAGUUCGGAAUAACCCAGGGAAACUUGGGCUAAGACCGGAUACGCCCUUUUUGGGUAAAGAUUUAUCGCUGAGAGAUCGGCCCGCGUCUGAUUAGCUAGUUGGUGAGGUAAAGGCUCACCAAGGCGACGAUCAGUAGCUGGUCUGAGAGGAUGAUCAGCCACACGUGGGACUGAGACACCGGCCCAGACCUCCGUACGGGAGGCAG
This 221-nucleotide ribosomal RNA is filed under the name uncultured bacterium. RNAcentral's name for it is "partial 16S ribosomal RNA". It matches the Rfam family "Bacterial small subunit ribosomal RNA", at positions 118 to 351 of the family's 1533-position model. The record is from RNAcentral.